RNAcentral lists this ribosomal RNA (234 nucleotides) under uncultured bacterium. RNAcentral describes it as "partial 16S ribosomal RNA". It matches the Rfam family "Bacterial small subunit ribosomal RNA", at positions 524 to 750 of the family's 1533-position model. The record is from RNAcentral.
UACAGAGGUCUCAAGCGUUUGUUCGGAUUCAUUGGGGCGUAAAGGGGUGUGUAGGUGGCGCCGUAAGUCGGGUGUGAAAUUUCGGAGCUUAACUCCGAAACUGCAUUCGAUACUGCGGUGCUUGAGGACUGGAGAGGAGACUGGGAAUUUCAUGGUGUAGCAGUGAAAAUGCGUAGAGAUCAUGAGGAAGACCAGUGGCGAAGGCGGGGUCUCUGGACAGUUCCUGACACUGAG